ACGGGUGAGUAACGCGUGGGUAACCUGCCUCAUACAGGGGGAUAACAGUUGGAAACGGCUGCUAAAACCGCAUAAGCAUACAUUGUCGCAUGACAGAGUGUGAAAAUAUUUAUAGGUAUGAGAUGGGCCCGCGUCUGAUUAGCUAGUUGGUAAGGUAACGGCUUACCAAGGCGACGAUCAGUAGCCGGCUUGAGAGAGUGACCGGCCACAUUGGGACUGAGACACGGCCCAAACUCCUACGGGAGGCAGCAGUGGGGAAUAUUGCACAAUGGGGGAAACCCUGAUGCAGCGACGCCGCGUGAGUGAAGAAGUAUUUCGGUAUGUAAAGCUCUAUCAGCAGGGAAGAAAAUGACGGUACCUGACUAAGAAGCCCCGGCUAACUACGUGCCAGCAGCCGCGGUAAUACGUAGGGGGCAAGCGUUAUCCGGAUUUACUGGGUGUAAAGGGAGCGUAGGUGGUUCGGUAAGUCAGAUGUGAAAGCCCGGGGCUCAACCCCGGGACUGCAUUUGAAACUAUCGUACUAGAGUGCAGGAGAGGUAAGUGGAAUUCCUAGU
Molecule: ribosomal RNA, 554 nt
Filed under: uncultured bacterium
Lineage: Bacteria
Description: bacterial SSU rRNA
Rfam family: Bacterial small subunit ribosomal RNA
Source: RNAcentral